Molecule: non-coding RNA, 724 nt
Organism: Nicotiana tabacum (common tobacco)
Lineage: Eukaryota; Viridiplantae; Streptophyta; Magnoliopsida; Solanales; Solanaceae
Source: RefSeq, a predicted model, not a curated record
AACUUUUAAAUACGUGAAACGAAACAAAUUAGACCCACAACGGCGGCUCCCGUGAUAUAAUUCUUCUAGGUCUCCUUCACUCUGCUCCCAUCGUUGAGUUCUUGCUAGCCUUUGGAAUCCUCUGCUAAUGGUGCCUUAUCCGUCGAUUGUUUCUUUUCUGCCUUUGAUACUGUCGUAGACAAGAAGGAUUGAGAAAGCAAAGUUGCGACUUGGGACGAGAAGGCUACAGACGAUAUAUUAUUUAAAAUUAAGAUAAGAUUUCCUUCUGAAGUUUGAUGUCUCCACUGAUUCGAAUAUGAAGUCUUUCGAUCUCUCUUUCUCUGCUACAUUUAGGGUUACAUUUAGAUUGUGCUGGUUAUGGAGCUCAAUUUAGAGGGAAUUUAUUACUUAAAGUUGGAAUUCUGCAAUAAUUAGUGGUAUUAGCCAUUAUUUGAUCAUCACCUUGGACAAUCUUUUUCUAGCAAGUCAGGAGAUUAUCAAAUGAGUAGGCACUCAAACGACAUGGGGAGGAAGCUCCUAAAAGAAAGUAGCAAAAGGAGUGGAAACAGAGCCGAAGAAGUGAAAAUAUCUCUUGUCCCAAUAUUAGUUUGAAUCCAACAAUGUUUAAUUGUAAAGAUGUAUAGCUAUUCACAAUUUUAUUCUUGUAUAGGGAUCUUAUGUUUGCAAAUAUUUUAUUUUUGUUUAAAUUGUCUAUAGUGAAUGACAUUUGUAAGUACAAUUUGAA